Molecule: ribosomal RNA, 231 nt
Filed under: Triticum aestivum (bread wheat)
Lineage: Eukaryota; Viridiplantae; Streptophyta; Magnoliopsida; Poales; Poaceae
Description: partial small subunit ribosomal RNA
Source: RNAcentral
CUGCUUCUACUUUCUGUAUGGAGCUGGGAGCGUCUGCCUGUUGGACGCCCGAAGAGCGUCAGGUUUGAUCCUUGGUAUGCAGAUGAACAUGACGAAUUACGGCGCCCCACGUGGGCUUACAAGUGGGAUAUCGUUUCCGAGAUGACGAACGAUGUCAACCUCAUGUACCAAAAGUACAUUGCCGAGUUGGACACGAUUACGCCUGAGCAGGUAAGGAGGUCAUUACUUUAG